Molecule: non-coding RNA, 7503 nt
Organism: Procambarus clarkii (red swamp crayfish)
Lineage: Eukaryota; Metazoa; Arthropoda; Malacostraca; Decapoda; Cambaridae
Source: RefSeq, a predicted model, not a curated record
ACAGAGGCUACAGUUAAGGAAUUGCGCCCAGUAAAUCCUCCCCGGCCAGGAUACGAACCCAUGACAUAGCGCUCGCGGAACGCCAGGCGAGUGUCUUACCACUACACCAUGGAGACUGUCUUCUUUCCCUCCUGUUCUGACCCGGUGACGUCUGAGGGUUUCCUGGUCGGGACAAGGUUUAGUUUACCCAAAUUUGGAAUGUGGCUCGAGUGGCCUGGGAGUUUCCCCUUUUGAUUUGGGCAAACAGUGUGACAAGCAGGCUCAGAGGCAGCUGAGCCUGCUUGUCACACUGGGGCUUCUGGGUGUUCCUUCAGCCAGCCCCUUCUUCCUUGGAAGCCUUUUCCUUGGACUCUGCCUUUCUAUUCCAGAUGAUGAGUAUCGACACAGGCUUUUCUCAGGUGCCCUCGUCUGCAGCUUAUGGGGCUUUUGGGCAGUCAGGUGUGGGCUCUUAGGUCCUGUUCAACUCGGCAUGAUUCCUGCAGGGUUGUGGGUUGUUAUCAACCCCCUAUCUGAUUUUUAACGUUUGUGUGCGGCUCUCCCCAUGGUUUGGUUCCAUGUGCCUUUGGGCCCUAUCAGGCUUGUUCUUCCAAAGGUUCUUUCCUCUUAGGUACCUCUUUUGGUGGCUUCUGUGGCUCUUUUUCCUGUUCCUCCUGCAGGGGGUCAUUCAUGUGCUACGUAGGGGGAGAUACAUAUGGCUUAACUCUGUGUGCUGGGUUGGCCCAUUGUUCAGCUACCCUGUUUGCCUUUAUUCCCCUGCUCACCACCUCAUUCUCCUUGCCUCUUUCUGCAGUGGUGGUGGUGGUGAGGACUCUCUUUGUUGAUGGCUAUGUUCUGUUAGCUCCUUUUGGUCUUUGUUCCUAGAGGCGGUCAUGUGGUAUUAGGGCUUCCCCUCCUGUAGACAGGAGGGAGGUUGUCUGUGGAGCCAAAUUUUGGUCACUUGAGCUUUCCUUGCCCAGUCCAUCUUGGAUGGAUUUGCAUCGGGAUCGCCCUGCUCAUUUGCUUUGGCUGCUUGUGGGUCUUUUCCUCCAGUUCACACCACCCUUUUGGGGAGAUCUUCCCCUCCUGGAAUUUUGGGUCCUCCUGGCUGGUUUCUUUGCCUCUGUCGGUUCUUCUCAGAUUGGGUGUUGUCUGGCUUGUUUUGCUUGGUUUUCCUCGGUCCAGAACCUGGUCUCUCAGGCCUCCACUUGUACAGUACUUGCCCUUUUGUGAUUGGAUUUGUGUAAAUCCAUUUUUUUUUUCUAUCCACAAAGGACAUUUUAGUUUUCGGUUCCUUGUUCUGGGUUCCCUUUUCCGAGGUUCAUGUUAUUCCAGGGCGGCCUUGGAGAUUUUCUCCCUGGGCUUCUGGGGCAGUUUUGGUUCAUUCACCCUUUGCACUUGGGGUCUGGGGGCAUUGAGUUUUUCUCUUGGGUUUUCCCCUUGACGAAUCUACUCCUCAUGUGUUCACCCACUUGGCUCAGCUUUUCUUGCCUUGUCUCUGGUUGGUCUCUCUCAUCAUCUUGUUGCGUGGGGACCCAGCUGGCCUGUUUGUCUGUUAGCUAGGUUCCUGGUUCUUCCUGACUCACUGGGUUCAUGUUUCUGGGUGCAGGCAAAAGUUCCAGGAGGUUCGGUUCUGGGUACGGACUUGGCUUGGCCUUGUUUGGGACACUCCUGUUAUUGUUCCCUGCCUCCAGCAGCAUACACUCCUGUUAUUGUUCCCUGCCACCAGCAGCAUUGACCCAAAUGUAGUGCCUCUGCUUGUUGGGUUGUCCUAGGUGAUGUGAUGGUUGCUUAGCUGGCUGUGUGACAGCCAUGUCUUUGUCUGUGGCAGUUAUCCUUUGGGCGAGGUGGGGCUUCGGAGGUUGUUUUAGUUCUCUGGGGGCGGCCUUUUCACCUCUGCCAUGACUUUUGGAUGCAGUAUUUGUUCACCCAGUGCUGGCUGCAGCUUUGUCAGUUUUCUCUAUUGGUUUUUCGGGCAUCAGUUUCCUGGUGCCUUCCUCCGUCCUCAUUCGGUGUCAUCCCGAGCGCCUUGCUCUGGGUUCGGGCUUUGUGUCCCGCUAUCUCCGAGCUGCCUUGGGUCAUUUGUUUCCUCCCUUUCUUCUGGCUUUCAGUGUGGUUUGGGUAGUUGUGGCCAUGUGGUGUGCACUACUGUGGGUUUGGUUUCCCCUUAGUUCUGUUUGCAUUGCUCCAGUUCUUUUCAGACUGGUUUCCUUUGGUCCCUACCCCUUGGGGCUGGGCUCUUCACAUUGCUCGAAUGAAGUUUUAGGGUUUAGUUCUUUCUGAGGUUUACAUUCGGGGAGUGCCCACCAUCAUCGCAGUUGGUCUAUCCUGCUUCCAUGGUGUGGGGCAUCAUUUCUGCUUCUUCUGGCCUUGUCAUAUUCGACCUCCUGAAUGUGGAUGCUUCAUGUCAGCGUUGUUUCAGUGCCUUGUACAUAGUGCAGUUCUGCACGUGAGUGAACCUCGCAUUUGGUGCCUUUCAGCUGAACCCCCACCCCUUUAGUUGGGGUGGUGGUUCCUGUUCCUUUCUCCCCAGUCCAGCAUUUACUGUGUCCUGCCAAGUUGGAGUCUUCCCACUAGUGAGUGCUGUUUGUGGCUUCUUGCAGGCUAGCCCAUCCUUCUUGUUUUCGUGCUCUGCCCUUUUUGUGUCUGAACCCAGGUGUUUUCCGGUGGCUCAGCUCCUUCCUGAGGAUCAGUCCAGUGAUUUUUCUCACUGGUUUGGCCUUUUCUGCUCUAUGCUCUGCUGCUUUUCUGCUCUGUGUCUGAUCUUCUUGCACGUGGUUCUCACCAUGCUUAUGGCGUCCUAGUGGCUUCUUUCAAGGUGUGUGGGUGUAUUCAGGGGGUAUCAGGGCCUUCUUCUUUCACUUGCAUUCUUCCUCUUGGUAGUUCUUGUGGUGCUUCACUCACCACUUACUUUCUUUGUUGUUGUUCCUUGGUUUCUGAAGUGGUGGUGCUUUCCUAUCUCUUUUGGCUUUUUCUCAACUGGCAUCUCCUGCUAAGUGCUGUUGUCUUUUCUUGUGUGGCACUGGCAGAGCCCCUGUAGCUUGUGUUUUGGGUUUAUAUUUUCUCAGCUCAGUUCUCGGGUUCUCCCUCACCUUGUUCCACCUCCAACCUGUUCAUGCAUCACUUUUCACUUGUCCCUGUUAGUCUUUGGACCGUGUCCUUGCAUUUCCUUGGUUUCCUGUGUCCCCUCUGGUCCAUAUUUGUUUCUCUGCAUUUUUGUUUGGUUUACCUCGCCUACAGUUGUUGGGUUAGGGAGCUUCAUUCUCUCCUCUGUUGGCAAGGAUGUUGCUCGUUUAGCCCUUCUGGCUGGCUUCAUCUGUAGCCGGCUUUUUUUCUUGUCACAAAUGAUUUGGGUAGCUUUUAUAUAUGGGUCCUAUAUUCUUGUUACUUGGUUGGCUCAGCCUGGGGUGCUUCUUGUUGUGUGUCCUUUUGAGGCUCUCCACCUUUCUACCUCUUGUUCUGCCUUAAUGGGUGCUUUUUGAGUCAUUUCAGUUGCCUUGGUCCCUCGUUCAAGGGUCAUUUGUCUGUUUCUUUGCAGUGUCCUUGGAUCCUACUAGCCUGCAGUCUCACUUCAUGCCCUUGCUGUUAUGAACUGUGCCUCAUUUUCGUCUGUGUUCACUGUGAUGUUCUGGGUUGAUAUUUUGGGGUGGAUGUUUAGGUGGUCGACCAGGGUUCUGGUGGCUCGGUGUCUUGUUCCUGUGCUCGGGCCAUGGUACCCUUGUUUGGCUUUCAGUCGUGUCUCACAGCACAGUGUCUCCUCUUUGUCCUGUUCCUGUGGUGUUUUCUCCUUCUUGAUGAGUAGUAGUUUCCUCCCUCCCACCCAGUGGUUUACUUCUCCGUGGGUAGAUAGCUUCAGGGAGCCACAAGGGGUUUCUCCCAGAAAACCAGCUUUGAAUGUAAUGAAACUCGAAUUUCUGGCUGAGCCCCAGUGGCUCCCUGACACCUUCCCUCCAGGUCAUCGGGGGGUUUUCUCACAUUUACUGACAGUGUUGCUGGCUGAUCAUAAGCUACAUUCCCCUUCCGUCAAACAAGUUGGGGAAAUGGGGGAAAUCAGCUGGAGAUAGUUUCAGAACUUUUCAAUGGUUUGUUUACAUAGCUGUAGGAGUUCUUCUGGCAGUUCUCAAGGCUUCGGACUGUUCUAAAUUCAGCUGGAGUCUUCUGUUUUGCUGACUUACUGCAAAACCUUGUGGUGCCAUUAAAUAAAUAUCACUGCUCUCAGUACCUCUAUGAGGGGACCAAGUUCUGACUUUUGUUUGCCAAGUUUAUAUGGCAGUAGGCCAUAUACGAUGGCUCCACGGCUGAUGCGAUCUAAUAGUUGACACACACUGUGUGAUAGUAGCUUCAGAGAGCCACUGUGGCUCACCCAGAAAUUGGCGUUUUAUUACAUUCAACGCUGUAGUUUUGUUUAUAAAAUAUUGAUUGCAGUAUCGUUUUGCAAAUGAAAACAAAAAAAUAUUAAUAUAGUAGCGGAAAAGAACAAUGGCUGAUGCGCAAUUUUAUACAUUUGUUUUAUAUAUAAAUAUGGUUAUAUGUACAGUGCAUUGUCAUUUUAAUUUACUCACAAGUAUAUAUAUUUGUAUUAUUUAAAAUGUAUAUACAAGAACAUACAAUGGGUUGCACUGCAACAAAUUUUGAUGAUGAAUUGAGUACAUUGCCAAAACCACUAUGAUGUAUAACAUUUCCUGCAAGUCGUAAAGUUACUCAAAAUUUAUAGUGAAUUUUAAGGUACAAUGUGAAGAGUCAAUCUUAAAGAAAUAAAGUUAGUGACCAAGGUAUACACCCAAGGGUACAGAGAAAUAAAGCUAGUGACCAAGGUAUACACCCAAGAGUACAGAGAAAUAAAGCUAGUGACCAAGAUAUACACCCAAGGGUACAGAGAAAUAAAGCUAGUGACCAAGGUAUACACCCAAGAGUACAGAGAAAUAAAGCUAGUGACCAAGGUAUACACCCAAGGGUACAGAGAAAUAAAGCUAGUGACCAAGGUAUACACCCAAGGGUACAGAGAAAUAAAGUUAGUGAUCAACAUAUUCAUCCAAGGGUACAAAUUUUUCUAAAAAGUGUGUGUUUGAAGGUGGGACAAAAUUAUGAAUAGUGACAUUUGUUAUAUCCAAGAGCAAAUAAAAUGAACAACAAAUAAAAUUAAUUACCAAAGUAAAACAGGAAAUUGACAAUUCAACCAACACACAAUGCUAUGAAAUGUUAAGCAACCAUGAAGUUGUAUAGUUUGAGGACAUUAUCAUGGUAAGUGUGAAUGUUUUGUGUGUUGUGUUUACGCUUACACUGACCACUCACCACAACUGAGAGGUGUGUUAAACUUCACGUAAUUAAUUAAAUUGAAAUACUGAGCAUAAUUACUUCCUCCACAGAUGUCACAAUUAUUUCAUUUAUGUGGCUGGUUCUGGGAAUGGCAAACUACCCUAGAUUGACUGACAACGAGCAAGGUAAUCUGACCCAGACUGGCUGAUGCUGGGAUAGUAAAGUACACAGGACUGGCCGACCCUGGGUAAGGUAAAGUACACAGGACUGGCUGACCCUGGGUAAGGUAAAGUACACAGGACUGAUUGACCCUGGGUAAGGUAAAGUACACAGGACUGGCCGACCCUGGGUAAGGUACAGUACACAGGACUGAUUGACCCUGGGUAAGGUAAAGUACACAGGACUGGCUGACCCUGGGUAAGAUAAAGUACACAGGACUGAUUGACCCUGGGUAAGGUAAAGUACACAGGACUGGCUGACCCUGGGUAAGGUAAAGUACACAGGACUGGCUGACCCUGGGUAAGGUAAAGUACACAGGACUGAUUGAUCCUGGGUAAGGUAAAGUACACAGGACUGGCUGACCCUGGGUAAGGUGAAGUACACAGGACUGACUGACCCUGGGUAAGGUAAAGUACACAGGACUGACUGACCCUGGGUAAGGUGAAGUACACAGGACUGACUGACCCUGGGUAAGGUAAAGUACACAGGACUGGCUGACCCUGGGUAAGGUAAAGUACACAGGACUGGCUGACCCUGGGUAAGGUAAAGUACCCAGGACUGGCUGACCCUGGGUAAGGUAAAGUACCCAGGACUGGCUGACCCUGGGUAAGGUAAAGUACACAGGACUGGCUGACCCUGGGUAAAGUACAGUACCCAGGACUGGCUGACCCUGGGUAAGUAAGGUGAAGUAAACAGGACUGACCAGGUGUUGGUGGGUGUGUAGAAGGCUCUGGUCAUUAUGUAGAAACACUACACAUACAGUAUAUAGCCAUAACACUUAUACAGUAUAUUAGUGGAAAAACUUUACAGCCAAUAAUUACUUUAUCAUAAAUUAGAGUUUAUGCAAGAAUUAUAAUUACAUCUGCAGUGUACAUUGUUUGGUCAAGUGGAGUUGUGUAUUGGUACUCAACUAAUUGUCCAGGUUGUGUAUCUGUACUUGUUGCAAGUUUUCUUAACUUUUUAUAUGUACUAAAUUUUUCUGCCACAGCAUGUUAAGGGUGGCUGCAUGAAACAUUACACAGUAGCUGACUGAAAACAGACUUAUCCAUGCCUGCUUAAUGGCAAAAAUUAUAGGUUAUGAUUUCUAUGAUUAAAUCUGAGUGCACUUUUGUUUAGUUUGCAAUUGCAGUAAUGAAACUAUUCAUUUCAAUUUCUAGCAUGACAUGUGUUUUGGCACAUUUAUACAUAUUGAGAUAUACUUCAUGGGUAUUGGCACGUUUAUACAUAUCGAGAUAUACUUCAUGGGCUUUGGCACGUUUAUACAUAUCGAGAUAUACUUCAUGGGCUUUGGCACGUUUAUACAUACUGUAUUGAGAUAUAAGAAUAUAAUAUUGAGAUAAACACUACGUGUACUAGUGGCUGUACAAGAAUGUAACAACUCUUGUGUAUAUCUCAAAAAAAAAAAAAAAAAAUAUAUAUAUAUACUUCAUGGGUUUUGGCAUGUUUAUACAUAUUGAGAUAUACUUCAUGGGUUUUGGCACGUUUAUACAUAUUGAAAUAUACUUCAUGGGUUUUCAAUGCUAUGAGCAUCACUGGGAAGAUAAUUAUGAAGAGAAAAUGCUGAGACUGUAUGUCUUUGGAUAUACUGAGUACAGAAGCUUAGAUGGGAAGAGCUCCAACACAUCCUUUCAUAUAACUCGCUGCGUUUUGUACGCUAUAAUUCCCAGCGGACAAAAUACGAGUUACUCUGAAAAUGGUGGCCUCACAAACAACCUCGUUUCCUAUGCGUAUAUUCGUUAGGUUAGAUAGGUGACUUGGGCUCUCGCAUUUUAGUACCCUGCAUUUUAUCCGUUGUGGUAACUCAAGAGAACUGGUUGAGUGGCCAGUGGUUACUGUGGCAUGUUGAACAAUGUGUUGAUUUUACUUUACAGUAAUAAUAUUGUAGUAUUACAUGUGUAGACUAUGCCAAAGUGUACAGUUUAAUCAUAUAAUGCAGUAUAUUAUCAUCUCAUUUUGCACUUGUAUGGGGGUUGGAAGGGCUGGGUUAAAUAGUCGAGAAAUAUAGUAAAAGAAGAAAAAUUUUUUUUAAAUAAUAAAAUAUUACAACUCUCA